GACGAACGCUGGCGGCGUGCUUAACACAUGCAAGUCGAACGGAAAGGCCCUGCUUUUGUGGGGUGCUCGAGUGGCGAACGGGUGAGUAACACGUGAGUAACCUGCCCUUGACUUUGGGAUAACUUCAGGAAACUGGGGCUAAUACCGGAUAGGAGCUCCUGCUGCAUGGUGGGGGUUGGAAAGUUUCGGCGGUUGGGGAUGGACUCGCGGCUUAUCAGCUUGUUGGUGGGGUAGUGGCUUACCAAGGCUUUGACGGGUAGCCGGCCUGGGAGGGUGACCGGCAAAAUUGGGCCGGAGAGACGGCCAAGACGCAUACGGGAGGCAGCAGUGGGGAAUAUGGCACAAUGGGCGGAAGCCUGAUGCAGAAACGCCGCGUGCGGGAUGACGGCCUUCGGGUUGGAAACCGCUUUCGCCUGUGACGAAGCGUGAGUGACGGUAAUGGGUAAAGAAACACCGGCGAACUACGG
Molecule: ribosomal RNA, 467 nt
Filed under: uncultured bacterium
Lineage: Bacteria
Description: partial 16S ribosomal RNA
Rfam family: Bacterial small subunit ribosomal RNA
Source: RNAcentral